ACUGUGAAUCAUCCUGUUCUGUCCUUAAGUGGUGGACACACUGCCCGCAUCAGGCUCGCGUGAGUCUCGCGUGGCGUGUUGUUUUUUAUUUCGGCGUCCAUGUUAACAGGUUAGAGUGGACACACUGCCCGCAUGAGA
Long non-coding RNA from Sebastes umbrosus (honeycomb rockfish), 138 nucleotides. RefSeq lists it as uncharacterized. The record is from RefSeq and is a predicted model, not a curated record. NCBI's taxonomy places the organism in Eukaryota, Metazoa, Chordata, Actinopteri, Perciformes, Sebastidae. The transcript is spliced from 3 exons.